AAUAACUUACAGUUUGUACUAACCUUAUCACUCCGUUUAUAGGUUGACUGCGAUGGCAACGGCGGGAGACGGAUGACAACGAUGGGAGGCGAAAGGCGGCGGCAGUUCUCACAAAAUCUAGCUCGACUGAACGAUCCCAGGCUCGCAACAAGGGCUAAAUUGAGAGGAGGAGGGAGUAGGGAUGACGGGUUGAAUCGUGUAACUUGUAAGUUUUAUAGGUCCAAUCGUCGGCGGGAAGACUCUAGGGAUUUCGAAUUUGAAGGCAGAAGGUUUCCUCUCAAGUGGUGUUUGGUUUAAUAAUAAUGGGAUUUCUCUCUCCAAUAUUGAUUUUAUAAAGGGCAAAA
This 344-nucleotide long non-coding RNA is filed under the name Olea europaea subsp. europaea. Lineage: Eukaryota; Viridiplantae; Streptophyta; Magnoliopsida; Lamiales; Oleaceae. The record is from RNAcentral.